This 487-nucleotide ribosomal RNA is filed under the name uncultured bacterium. RNAcentral describes it as "bacterial SSU rRNA". It matches the Rfam family "Bacterial small subunit ribosomal RNA", at positions 28 to 514 of the family's 1533-position model. The record is from RNAcentral.
GAUGAACGCUAGCGGCAGGCUUAACACAUGCAAGUCGAGGGGUAGAGGAAGCUUGCUUCCUUGAGACCGGCGCACGGGUGCGUAACGCGUAUACAAUCUACCUUUUACAGAGGGAUAGCCCAGAGAAAUUUGGAUUAAUACCUCAUAGUAUUUUCGGAUCGCAUGAUUUGAUUAUUAAAGUUCCAACGGUAAAAGAUGAGUAUGCGUCCCAUUAGCUAGAUGGUAAGGUAACGGCUUACCAUGGCAAUGAUGGGUAGGGGUCCUGAGAGGGAGAUCCCCACACUGGUACUGAGACACGGACCAGACUCCUACGGGAGGCAGCAGUGAGGAAUAUUGGACAAAUGGGCGCAAGCCUGAUCCAGCCAUGCCGCGUGCAGGAUGACGGUCCUAUGGAUUGUAAACUGCUUUAUACAGGAAGAAACACUAACUUCGUGAAGUAGCUUGACGGUACUGUAAGAAUAAGGACCGGCUAACUACGUGCCAGCAG